Molecule: non-coding RNA, 24 nt
Filed under: Arabidopsis thaliana (thale cress)
Lineage: Eukaryota; Viridiplantae; Streptophyta; Magnoliopsida; Brassicales; Brassicaceae
Source: RNAcentral
AGGAUCAAGGAACUUCGGCGGAAG